UGCGUAGGGUCCGAGCGUUGUCCGGAAUUACUGGGCGUAAAGAGCUCGUAGGUGGUUUGUCGCGUUGUUCGUGAAAACUCACAGCUCAACUGUGGGCGUGCGGGCGAUACGGGCAGACUGGAGUACUGCAGGGGAGACUGGAAUUCCUGGUGUAGCGGUGGAAUGCGCAGAUAUCAGGAGGAACACCGGUGGCGAAGGCGGGUCUCUGGGCAGUAACUGACGCUGAGGAGCGAAAGCGUGGGGAGCGAACAGG
RNAcentral lists this ribosomal RNA (253 nucleotides) under uncultured bacterium. Its description in RNAcentral is "partial 16S ribosomal RNA". It matches the Rfam family "Bacterial small subunit ribosomal RNA", at positions 524 to 776 of the family's 1533-position model. The record is from RNAcentral.